CGGAGGGAGCUAGCGUUGUUCGGAAAUACUGGGCGUAAAAGCGCACGUAGGCGGCGUCGCAAGUCAGGGGGUGAAAAUCCCGGGGCUCAACCCCGGAACUGCCCUUGAAACUGCAAUGCUAGAAUCUUGGAGAGGCGGAGUGGAAUUCCGAGUGUAGAGGUGAAAUUACGUAGAUAUUCGGAAGAACACCAGUGGCGAAGGCGACUCGCUGGACAAGUAUUGACGCUGAGGUGCGAAAGCGUGGGGAGCAAACAGGAUU
RNAcentral lists this ribosomal RNA (259 nucleotides) under uncultured bacterium. RNAcentral's name for it is "partial 16S ribosomal RNA". It matches the Rfam family "Bacterial small subunit ribosomal RNA", at positions 526 to 779 of the family's 1533-position model. The record is from RNAcentral.